GACGAACGCUGGCGGCGUGCUUAACACAUGCAAGUCGAACGAAGAGCGAUGGAAGCUUGCUUCUAUCAAUCUUAGUGGCGAACGGGUGAGUAACGCGUAAUCAACCUGCCCUUCAGAGGGGGACAACAGUUGGAAACGACUGCUAAUACCGCAUACGAUCUAACCUCCGCAUCGAGGAAAGAUGAAAGGUGGCCUCUAUUUAUAAGCUAUCACUGAAGGAGGGGAUUGCGUCUGAUUAGCUAGUUGGAGGGGUAACGGCCCACCAAGGCGAUGAUCAGUAGCCGGUCUGAGAGGAUGAACGGCCACAUUGGGACUGAGACACGGCCCAGACUCCUACGGGAGGCAGCAGUGGGGAAUCUUCCGCAAUGGACGAGAGUCUGACGGAGCAACGCCGCGUGAGUGAUGACGGCCUUCGGGUUGUAAAGCUCUGUUAAUCGGGACGAAAGGCCUUCUUGCGAACAGUUAGAAGGAUUGACGGACCGAAUAGAAAGCCAC
This 495-nucleotide ribosomal RNA is filed under the name Veillonella parvula. Its description in RNAcentral is "bacterial SSU rRNA". It matches the Rfam family "Bacterial small subunit ribosomal RNA", at positions 28 to 494 of the family's 1533-position model. The record is from RNAcentral. Lineage: Bacteria; Bacillati; Bacillota; Negativicutes; Veillonellales; Veillonellaceae.